Long non-coding RNA from Suricata suricatta (meerkat), 411 nucleotides. RefSeq lists it as uncharacterized. Lineage: Eukaryota; Metazoa; Chordata; Mammalia; Carnivora; Herpestidae. The record is from RefSeq and is a predicted model, not a curated record. The transcript is spliced from 2 exons.
GGCUGGAGAGGGUGGAGGCUGGCUGGGGUUCACUGUGUGUGUGCCGAUUAUAGCACACUCCAUAGCCGGCUCCUGAGCGAGCAGACCCAGCUGAAGGAUGGUGUGGACAUGCUGAGGCGGGAGAAUGGACAGUUGUUGCGGGAGCAUAACGUGACGUGGCUCCAUGAGGAGGACCAGAAGGAGAUUGGUGCCCUCCGGGCCCAACAGCAGCAGAAAGCAGGAACAAAACCCAGCACCAAAGCAACACCAGGGUGGCUGAGAGAGGGACAGGGCAGGGCACCGCAACAUGGAGCCGUUCAAGUAAACAUAAGCAACCAGUACUUAGAAAAGGCUUGUAAACGUGUGAUCUGAAAGCUUGUCUUUCAGCAUCUCUGAUCAGCUGGCUAAAGAAAGGGUGGUGUCCAACCCGUC